Molecule: transfer RNA, 57 nt
Filed under: Salamandra lanzai (Lanza's fire salamander)
Lineage: Eukaryota; Metazoa; Chordata; Amphibia; Caudata; Salamandridae
Description: partial tRNA-Gln
Source: RNAcentral
UAAGAAAUGGUGUAGAGGGAGCACGAGGGGUUUUGAUCUCCUUUGGGUAGGUUCGAG